RNAcentral lists this ribosomal RNA (425 nucleotides) under uncultured bacterium. Its description in RNAcentral is "bacterial SSU rRNA". It matches the Rfam family "Bacterial small subunit ribosomal RNA", at positions 508 to 930 of the family's 1533-position model. The record is from RNAcentral.
GCAGCAGCCGCGGUAAUACGGAGGGGGCAAGCGUUGUUCGGAUUUACUGGGCGUAAAGGGUGUGUAGGCGGUUGCGUCAGUCUGGUGUGAAAUCUUCACCGCUCAACGGGAAGGAGCCACUGGAAACUGCGCAACUCGAGUAUGGUAGAGGCUAGCGGAAUUCCUGGUGUAGCGGUGGAAUGUGUAGAUAUCAGGAAGAACAUCUGUGGCGAAGGCGGCUAGCUGGGCCAUCACUGACGCUGAGACACGAAAGCGUGGGGAGCGAACGGGAUUAGAUACCCCGGUAGUCCACGCUGUAAACGGUGCGCACUAGGUGUGAGGGGUAUCGACCCCCCUUGUGCCGAAGUUAACACAUUAAGUGCGCCGCCUGGGGAGUACGGCCGCAAGGUUGAAACUCAAAGGAAUUGACGGGGGCCCGCACAAGC